Molecule: ribosomal RNA, 440 nt
Filed under: uncultured bacterium
Lineage: Bacteria
Description: partial 16S ribosomal RNA
Rfam family: Bacterial small subunit ribosomal RNA
Source: RNAcentral
CCUACGGGUGGCAGCAGUGGGGAAUAUUGCACAAUGGGGGAAACCCUGAUGCAGCGACGCCGCGUGAGUGAAGAAGUAUUUCGGUAUGUAAAGCUCUAUUAGCAGGGAAGAAAAUGACGGUACCUGACUAAGAAGCCCCGGCUAACUACGUGCCAGCAGCCGCGGUAAUACGUAGGGGGCAAGCGUUAUCCGGAUUUACUGGGAGUAAAGGGCGCGUAGACGGCAGCGCAAGGCUGAAGUGAAAUGCCGGGGCUUAACCCCGGAACUGCUUUGGAAACUGUGCAGCUAGAGUGGAGGAGAGGUAAGUGGAAUUCCGGGUGUAGCGGUGAAAUGCGUAGAUAUUAGGAGGAACACCAGUGGCGAAGGCGGCUUACUGGACUGUAACUGACGUUGAGGCUCGAAAGCGUGGGGAGCAAACAGGAUUAGAUACCCCAGUAGUC